This 445-nucleotide ribosomal RNA is filed under the name ammonia-oxidizing enrichment culture. RNAcentral describes it as "bacterial SSU rRNA". It matches the Rfam family "Archaeal small subunit ribosomal RNA", at positions 75 to 521 of the family's 1478-position model. The record is from RNAcentral.
GGCGUGACAUACGGCUCAGUAACACGUAGUCAACAUGCCCAGGGGACGUGGAUAACCUCGGGAAACUGAAGAUAAACCGCGAUAGGCCAAAGCUUCAGGAAUGGGCCAUGGCUGAAAUCUAUNACGGCCCCUGGAUUGGACUGCGGCCGAUCAGGCUGUUGGUGAGGUAAUGGCCCACCAAACCUGUAACCGGUACGGGCUUUGAUAGAAGGAGCCCGGAGAUGGGCACUGAGACAAGGGCCCAGGACCUAUGGGGCGCAGCAGGCGCGAAACCUCUGCAAUAGGCGAAAGCCUGACAGGGUUACUCUGAGUGAUGUCCGCUAAGGGCAUCUUUUGGCACCUCUAAAAAUGGUGCAGAAUAAGGGGUGGGCAAGUCUGGUGUCAGCCGCCGCGGUAAUACCAGCACCCCGAGUGGUCGGGACGAUUAUUGGGCCUAAAGCAUCCG